AUACGAUAAAAUUCAUCAUACCACUGUCUCAAAAACAAUGAUGGUUCAAAGGUUUUGGCCUUGGAAAAUUUAUUUUGAUGCUAAAGGGUUAUACCAAGCACUGUGAUUAUUGACAGGGCUACUCACUAAUCACUAAUUUUGUUUGGAUGGACAAAAUCCGGUGAAAAGGGAGACAUUCCGACAAGAAUGGCAAUUCUCAUAUUCACUAAAGCCAAAUCAGGUUGGAAUCCAAUCGGCC
Non-coding RNA from Pelobates cultripes (western spadefoot toad), 238 nucleotides. The record is from the annotation of a GenBank genome assembly. NCBI's taxonomy places the organism in Eukaryota, Metazoa, Chordata, Amphibia, Anura, Pelobatidae.